This 506-nucleotide ribosomal RNA is filed under the name uncultured bacterium. Its description in RNAcentral is "partial 16S ribosomal RNA". It matches the Rfam family "Bacterial small subunit ribosomal RNA", at positions 29 to 523 of the family's 1533-position model. The record is from RNAcentral.
AUUGAACGCUGGCGGCAGGCCUAACACAUGCAAGUCGGACGGUAGCACAGAGGAGCUUGCUCCUCGGGUGACGAGUGGCGGACGGGUGAGUAAUGUCUGGGGAUCUGCCCGAUAGAGGGGGAUAACCACUGGAAACGGUGGCUAAUACCGCAUAACGUCGCAAGACCAAAGAGGGGGACCUUCGGGCCUCUCACUAUCGGAUGAACCCAGAUGGGAUUAGCUAGUAGGCGGGGUAAUGGCCCACCUAGCCGACGCUCCCUAGCUGGUCUGAGAGGAUGACCAGCCACACUGGAACUGAGACACGGUCCAGACUCCUACGGGAGGCAGCAGUGGGGAAUAUUGCACAAUGGGCGCAAGCCUGAUGCAGCCAUGCCGCGUGUAUGAAGAAGGCCUUCGGGUUGUAAAGUACUUUCAGCGGGGAGGAAGGCGGUGAGGUUAAUAACCUUGCCGAUUGACGUUACCCGCAGAAGAAGCACCGGCUAACUCCGUGCCAGCCGCCGCGGUAA